ACGGAACCGAAUGCAUAACAAAAUAGGAUAAAAAGAGGCUUACCUCGGAGCUUCAAUUUUAAAGGCAGGAUGUAUGUCGGAACUCUACAGCCCAUGGGAAUCGACAAUGAGCUACUUGUCCAACUAUUCCAGCGCAGUUUGACCGGACCCGCGCUGACUUGGUUGAUGAACACUGACCUAACUUUCCCAUGAGGAGGGAAAACAAAAUCCAAGUUGGGAGGAUAACUUCACUUUCCCCCCAACUUUCCCAUGGGCCAGUCAACGAUUUCUCAUGCAUGAACUUACCAAAUAUGGGAAAACAAUUGAUUUCUCAUCCCCAAGUCUCCUUUCCCAUGAACCGAACGGGGCCUAACCCCAAUAAACGCUGCAAUCUACGGGUUCUUAUCUCCAAUCUAAGGUCAGAUUUGGUUGAUUUGUAAAGGUUUUUAUUUUUAUUUUUUUGGGUAUAAGCUGAGGAAACUUAUGAAUAUUAUUUGAUUUAUUUCGUUUAAUAUUACCCUUAAUUUGAUUUACUUAGCUAGAUCGUUGUUCAUAGCUGCUUCUCCUUUAUUUUGUAUCACAAUUUACAUAAAAAUAAAAAACCGUAAUUAAGAUUUAAAUUCAGUAAUGAAGGCUUAGCGGCAAUCCUUUGGAGUGGUGAUUGCUACUUCUAUAUUGUUUCAUUUCUCAUAUUAGUUGUUAUACUUUUGUUCACUGGAUGAGUUUGAUGGUCGGCAAGUAGAUGUGGGUUAAAAUUGUUUUUGUUUUUAUUUUUUUUGAUAAAAAAAGUUUAGGGGUAAACUCACAACUUUGAGUCAGUAGAAUUUAUGCAUCAGUUAAUUUACAUGUUUAAUCAGUUGAGUUUUUUACUCUUAAUUUUAUUUUUCUUAGUUUUUUUGUGUCAAUUUUUUGCUUAAUUAUGUAUGUAAUUCUUAAUCAGUGUGACAAUGUUAUAUUUAUUCUAAUGGUCAACAGUAGAAGUAUGAAUGCAAAUAAAAUUAUCUGGAAAAAAAAAAUACCAUUUUAAAAAGAAAUAAAAUAAAUUAUUUAUUAAUAAACAAAAGAAAUUGAAUAAAAUAGAAAAGAGACUACGCUAAAUACACUUUGAGAGGGUGACCCAACCGAAACCCCUGGGGAUGGAUAGACAAAAGCUCCACCGACCUCUGCAGCAGAGAUAUGUAUGCAAAUGUUAACAUCUUCAAGUUCGAAAUUUGAUAUUGUUCGUUGCUUCUCCAUGAUUCGCCUUUUGUUUCUACCAUCUAUUUGGGCAAUUUAAAUAUUUUUAUUUAACUUUUUUGCUUUUUUGGGACUUCUGGGUUCGCAGAAAGAGUUUGGAAUCGUUGUUGUUUUGGGAUCAUAAAGCGUCUGGCUUGUGUAAAUUCUAUGAUACAAAGAGCAAUCCACCAAUAGAUUUUGAUUUAUCCAGGCAUUCAUUGCCUGUUGAAUUGAUCCAGCAGUUCCUAAAAGAGUAGUUUGAGUUCCUUCUUUUUCCCUGGUCAAGCCCUCUUUGUUUCCGAAACCAACCAUUUGUAAUUUACAUUAUACGCAACAGAAGCACAUGAAGUACUAAACGGAAUAGGUAUUAGUUUGGUAAUGGUUGGAGCAGCAAACUCGGAUUCGGCAAGAAUCUCAUUUUUUGGUAGUACGAAGGGGGAAUUGGCACAAAAAUUGGAUAGGGGUCAAGACGCAAUCGGGCGCCGGCGGCUGACUCAAGUGCCCCCCGAACCGCGCGAAAUGGUAGCCUAUUACACGGCUCACGGUGUGUAACACAUCUAAUUGGAAGUGGAAUGAAGAUAAUGCGCUUUACUCUUUCAUUUGUAGCUGGAUUAGCGCUUUGGCUGGGCUAACUUUCAUCUGUUCUGUUUAGUUUUUCACUAAGCCUCAUCUGAGUGAUAUAUACAUAGCUCCUUGAUUACUUAUCAAAUAAAAAUAAAAUUCACUUUCUUUAAUCACUUUCUCUCCCCGAUCUCAUUAGCUUAGUAGCAGCAGUGGAAGUCAUAGUAGUUGUAGCAGAGUAAGCUAGAGCCAGAAGCGUUCCACCUACUACCAUAUGGAGAGCCAGUUCUCGUCAUCCAUUUAUAUGUGCGCCACCUUGCCUAGCAUUUCUUACAAUUCGGAUAGCAGUAUACCUUCAAUUUCUAGAUCCAGAGCAUCUAAUUUAAAUUCGGAUAACCAUUUGCAGUUCUAUUUCGUGAGCCAUAGCCCGUAGAUAAAGGGGGCUGGCUGUUCCUUAGGAUGGGUUGGAAAUAUAUAUAGGAUAUAGGGAUCGGGGAGGAGAUUGUUAAGGUGGUUGAGUUACCCAUAGUGGCUUUCGGUCAAUCAUGGUGCGAAGCGAAGUAUUCGAGUGAAGAAAGAAGAGAGAGGGAAUGCUUUGCCAGCGAACCAGUAGCACGAUUGCAGUUCCUCGGUCUCAGUCCUGCGAGCGAAAGGUGCCAAGCUAAAGUAAGAGAAUCCGCUGCAAGUGCAAGACCAGACGUUAAUCAGGAAGCAUACAACAGCAAGCACACAUCUUUGCGGUCUUUCUAAACCUUAUUUAUUAUAUUAAGCCGGUGUCAGCCUUUAGGUUUUUAUCCCUAAUCUUGAGUGUUGAACCAUAGGUUCGGCACAAGAGGAAUCUUUCUUAGACUCGGUUCGCCGUCAGUUUGCAAACUGCGGGUGGGUGCGAACUACUAGAGGCCCGUCCAGGAGGUUAGUCAAAAUAGAGGACCUAGAACGCCUUGGUGAAUCAGACCCAGAGAUCAUGGCCAACAACGCCAGUCACCGAGGUAACUUGCUUACUCUCUAUGAUGGGGACAAUGAAGAGUCUACUGGCUGUAACCACCAGCGGAACCCUACAGCCCCGGCAAAUCAGCAACUUUCUAACGAGGUAGUUAGCCGUCAACUAGGUGAGAUUGCCUGGAUACUAGCACAAUUGACCUCGCAGGUAGCCGAAAUACCCUGGCUGCACCUGCUGCUCAAGGAACAAACCCUCCAUCUACCAUCCCGGCCCAGGGGACACAAAUGCACAACCACAAAGCCAACCAAGAGUAGCAGAUGCUAGACCUGUAGACCCAGUACCCCCUUCAGUUCAGAAUCAGCCCGCAGUUCCUGAACCUAUGGAUCACUACGAGAAAGAGAUCUGAAGAAAGCCUCCUGCAGUACCGGCCGUGUCCUUGGCUUCCACUCCCAUGAAUCAGAUAGUGCCAUACGUCCCACCACAGCCGUCCGAUCCUCUGAUGGAGAAGAUCAGUCGCCUUGAACGGGCAGUUAAUAAAUUGACUGGGGACGAGUAUGAUGUUUUAGAUCUUGAUAAUCUCUCCCUAUACCCAAAGUAAGGAUUCCGUACGGUUUUAAGUGGCCAGAGAUAUAUAAGUAUAACGGAACCGAAUGCAUAACAAAAUAGGAUAAAAAGAGGCUUACCUCGGAGCUUCAAUUUUAAAGGCAGGAUGUAUGUCGGAACUCUACAGCCCAUGGGAAUCGACAAUGAGCUACUUGUCCAACUAUUCCAGCGCAGUUUGACCGGACCCGCGCUGACUUGGUUGAUGAACACUGACCUAACUUUCCCAUGAGGAGGGAAAACAAAAUCCAAGUUGGGAGGAUAACUUCACUUUCCCCCCAACUUUCCCAUGGGCCAGUCAACGAUUUCUCAUGCAUGAACUUACCAAACAUGGGAAAACAAUUGAUUUCU
Molecule: long non-coding RNA, 3646 nt
Filed under: Prunus persica (peach)
Lineage: Eukaryota; Viridiplantae; Streptophyta; Magnoliopsida; Rosales; Rosaceae
Description: long non-coding RNA (PPER_LNC005403)
Source: RNAcentral